Molecule: unclassified non-coding RNA, 404 nt
Filed under: soil metagenome
Description: partial contains 5.8S ribosomal RNA, internal transcribed spacer 2, and large subunit ribosomal RNA
Rfam family: 5.8S ribosomal RNA (bases 1-122)
Source: RNAcentral
GAUGAAGAACGUAGCAAAAUGCGAUACUUGGUGUGAAUUGCAGAAUCCCGUGAACCAUCGAGUUUUUGAACGCAAGUUGCGCCCGAAGCCUUUUGGCCGAGGGCACGUCUGCCUGGGCGUCACGCAUCGCGUCGCCCCCCACAAUUCUCCGUAAAGGGAACAUGUGUUUUGGGGGCGGAUAUUGGUCUCCCGUGCUCAUGGCGUGGUUGGCCGAAAUAGGAGUCCUUUCGAUGGACGCACGAACUAGUGGUGGUCGUAAAAACCCUCGUCUUUUGUUUCGUGCUGUUGGUCGCAAGGUAAACUCUUUAAAAACCCCAACGUGUCGUCUCUUGACGACGCUUCGACCGCGACCCCAGGUCAGGCGGGACUACCCGCUGAGUUUAAGCAUAUCAAUAAGCGGAGGA